ACGUACACUCCUACGGGAGGCAGCAGUGGGGAAUAUUGGACAAUGGGCGCAAGCCUGAUCCAGCCAUGCCGCGUGAGUGAUGAAGGCCCUAGGGUUGUAAAGCUCUUUCACCGGUGAAGAUAAUGACGGUAACCGGAGAAGAAGCCCCGGCUAACUUCGUGCCAGCAGCCGCGGUAAUACGAAGGGGGCUAGCGUUGUUCGGAUUUACUGGGCGUAAAGCGCACGUAGGCGGACUAUUAAGUCAGGGGUGAAAUCCCGGGGCUCAACCCCGGAACUGCCUUUGAUACUGGUUGUCUUGAGUUCGAGAGAGGUGAGUGGAAUUCCGAGUGUAGAGGUGAAAUUCGUAGAUAUUCGGAGGAACACCAGUGGCGAAGGCGGCUCACUGGCUCGAUACUGACGCUGAGGUGCGAAAGCGUGGGGAGCAAACAGGAUUAGAUACCCCAGUAGUCCC
RNAcentral lists this ribosomal RNA (451 nucleotides) under uncultured organism. RNAcentral describes it as "partial 16S ribosomal RNA". It matches the Rfam family "Bacterial small subunit ribosomal RNA", at positions 329 to 797 of the family's 1533-position model. The record is from RNAcentral.